This is a small nuclear RNA of Mustela lutreola (European mink), 193 nucleotides long. RefSeq annotates it as U2 spliceosomal RNA. The record is from RefSeq and is a predicted model, not a curated record. The transcript has a single exon. Lineage: Eukaryota; Metazoa; Chordata; Mammalia; Carnivora; Mustelidae.
AUCGCUUCUCUGCCUUUUGGCUAAGAUCAAGUGUAGUAUCUGUUCUUAUCAGUUUAAUAAAAGAAAGGACAAGAACUAUAUGAUCUUCUCAACUAAUGCAGAAAAAGCAUUUGACAAAGUGUGGCAUCCUUUCUUGAUUAAAACUCUCUUGAUUAAAACUUUCUGCAGUGUAGAGAUAGAGGGAAAAUACCUU